UGUGCGAUCCAUCUAGGUGUUGAGACUGGUAGGCAAAUCCGCCAGUUGAGCUGAGGUGAGAGCGAGCCGUAAGGCAUAAGUGGUUGAGCCUUGUUGCCAAGAAAAGCCUCUAAACGUUGAUUUCUGAGUGCCCGUACCGCAAUCCGACACCGGUAGAUGGGUAGAGUAUACCAAGGCGAACGGGAGAACCCUCGUUAAGGAACUAGGCAACAUAACCCCGUAACUUCGGGAGAAGGGGUACCCUCUAAGGUGUUAAAGCCCUGGAGGGUCGCAGUGAAAUGGCUCUGGCGACUGUUUAACAAAAACACAGGUCUCUGCUAAGCCGUAAGGCGAUGUAUAGGGGCUGACACGUGCCCAGUGCCGGAAGGUUAAAGGGAGAGGUUAGCGCAAGCGAAGCUUUGAACUGAAGCCCCGGUGAACGGCGGCCGUAACUAUAACGGUCCUAAGGUAGCGAAAUUCCUUGUCGGGUAAGUUCCGACCCGCACGAACCGUGUAACGAUCAGAGCACUGUCUCAACGAGGGACCCGGUGAAGUUGAAAUGGCUGUGAAGAUGCGGCCUACCCGCAGCAGGACAAAAAGACCCCGUGGAGCUUUACUGUAACUUGGCAUUGUGUUUGGGUAUGAUCUGUGUAGCAUAGGUGGGAGGCUUUGAAGCUGGGGCGUCAGCCUCGGUGGAGCCAUUAGUGAAAUACCACCCUGAUUAUAUUUAGACCCUAACCCCACACCGUAAUCCGGGUGGGGGACCGUGCCAGGUGGGCAGUUUGACUGGGGCGGUCGCCUCCUAAAAGGUAACGGAGGCGCCCAAAGGUUCCCUCAGGCAGAAUGGAAACCUGCCAUAGAGUGCAAAGGCAUAAGGGAGCUUGACUGCAAGACCAACGCGUCGAGCAGAUACGAAAGUAGGGCUUAGUGAUCCCACGGUACCGAGUGGAAGGGCCGUGGCUUACCGGAUAAAAGCUACCCCGGGGAUAACAGGCUGGUGAGAUCCAAGAGUUCACAUCGACGAUCUCGCUCGGCACCUCGAUGUCGGCUCAUCGCAUCCUGGGGCUGGACAAAGUCCCAAGGGUCGGGCUGUUCGCCCGUUAAAGCGGUACGCGAGCUGGGUUCAGACCGUCGUGAGACAGGUCGGUCUCUAUCCGCUGUGGGCGUAAGGGAUUUGAGAGGAGCUGCUCCUAGUACGAGAGGACCGGAGUGGACUGACCUCUGGUGUGCCAGUUGUCGUGCCAACGGCAUUGCUGGGUAGCUACGUCGGGCAGAGAUAACCGCUGAAAGCAUCUAAGUGGGAAACUCGCCUCAAGAUUAGAUCCCUGUAAUCCAGUUAAUGGAGUAAGACCCCAGGUAGACCACCUGGUAUAUAGGCAACAAGUGUAAGCGCAGUAAUGUGUUGAGCUAAGUUGUACUAAUGGUCGAGGGCUGAAACC
RNAcentral lists this ribosomal RNA (1418 nucleotides) under metagenome. RNAcentral's name for it is "bacterial LSU rRNA". It matches the Rfam family "Bacterial large subunit ribosomal RNA", at positions 1508 to 2925 of the family's 2925-position model. The record is from RNAcentral.